AGUGAACGCUGGCGGUAGGCCUAACACAUGCAAGUCGAACGGCAGCACAGGAGAGCUUGCUCUCUGGGUGGCGAGUGGCGGACGGGUGAGGAAUACAUCGGAAUCUACUCUGUCGUGGGGGAUAACGUAGGGAAACUUACGCUAAUACCGCAUACGACCUACGGGUGAAAGCAGGGGAUCUUCGGACCUUGCGCGAUUGAAUGAGCCGAUGUCGGAUUAGCUAGUUGGCGGGGUAAAGGCCCACCAAGGCGACGAUCCGUAGCUGGUCUGAGAGGAUGAUCAGCCGCACUGGAACUGAGACACGGUCCAGCCUCCUACGGGAGGCAGCAGUGGGGAAUAUUGGACAAUGGGCGCAAGCCUGAUCCAGCCAUACCGCGUGGGUGAAGAAGGCCUUCGGGUUGUAAAGCCCUUUUGUUGGGAAAGAAAUCCAGCUGGCUAAUACCCGGUUGGGAUGACGGUACCCAAAGAAUAAGCACUGGCUAACUUCGUGCCAGCCGCCGCCGUAA
This 506-nucleotide ribosomal RNA is filed under the name uncultured bacterium. RNAcentral describes it as "partial 16S ribosomal RNA". It matches the Rfam family "Bacterial small subunit ribosomal RNA", at positions 29 to 523 of the family's 1533-position model. The record is from RNAcentral.